Molecule: long non-coding RNA, 362 nt
Filed under: Sorghum bicolor (sorghum)
Lineage: Eukaryota; Viridiplantae; Streptophyta; Magnoliopsida; Poales; Poaceae
Description: long non-coding RNA (SBIC_LNC001495)
Source: RNAcentral
CAGGGUCUUGUUUAGUUGUGAUUUUUUUUUUGGAUUUCGCUACUGUAGCAAUUUCGUUUUUAUUUGACAAACAAUGUCCAAUCAUGGAGUAGUUAGGCUUAAAAAAUUCGUCUCGUGAUUUACAGACAAACUGUGUAAUUAGUUUUUGUUUUCAUCUAUAUUUAAUGUUUCAUGCAUAUGUCGUAAGAUUCGAUACAACGGGAAAUCUUGAAAAGUUUUUGGUUUUUUGGUAGUUGUAAACAAGGCACUAAAAAAUCUUGUAAACAUGAGACGGUUGUAUUAGGGCACUCACAAUGCAAGACUCUAUCACAGAGUCCAAGACAAUCAAUUACAUAUUAUUUAUGAUAUUUUGCUGAUGUGGC